AGUGAACGCUGGCGGUAGGCCUAACACAUGCAAGUCGAACGGCAGCACAGUAAGAGCUUGCUCUUACGGGUGGCGAGUGGCGGACGGGUGAGGAAUACAUCGGAAUCUACUUUUUCGUGGGGGAUAACGUAGGGAAACUUACGCUAAUACCGCAUACGACCUACGGGUGAAAGCAGGGGAUCUUCGGACCUUGCGCGAUUGAAUGAGCCGAUGUCGGAUUAGCUAGUUGGCGGGGUAAAGGGCCACCAAGGCGACGAUCCGUAGCUGGUCUGAGAGGAUGAUACGCCACACUGGAAAUGAGACACGGGCCAAACCCCCACGGGAGGGAACAGUUGGGAAAUUUUGGCAAUGGGGGAAAGCCUGACCCAGCCCCACCGCGGGGGGGAAAAAGGGCUUUGGGUUGUAAAACCCUUUUUUUUGGGAAAAAAAAACGGGGGUUUAAACCCCCCCUUUUUGACGGUACCCAAAAAAAAAGCCACGGCUAACUUCGGG
RNAcentral lists this ribosomal RNA (492 nucleotides) under uncultured bacterium. RNAcentral's name for it is "partial 16S ribosomal RNA". It matches the Rfam family "Bacterial small subunit ribosomal RNA", at positions 29 to 507 of the family's 1533-position model. The record is from RNAcentral.